UACGUAGGAGGCGAGCGUUGUCCGGAAUCACUGGGCGUAAAGCGUGUGUAGGCGGAUGACUAAGUUUGCUGUGAAAGCGCCUGGCUUAACCGGGCGAGGUCGGCGAAAACUAGUCGUCUGGAGGCCGGUAGAGGGGGGUGGAAUUCCGGGUGUAGUGGUGAAAUGCGUAGAGAUCCGGAGGAACACCCGUGGCGCAGGCGGCCCCCUGGGCCGCGCCUGACGCUGAGACGCGAAAGCGCGGGGAGCGAACGGG
This 253-nucleotide ribosomal RNA is filed under the name uncultured bacterium. RNAcentral's name for it is "partial 16S ribosomal RNA". It matches the Rfam family "Bacterial small subunit ribosomal RNA", at positions 524 to 776 of the family's 1533-position model. The record is from RNAcentral.